GGAUCCCAUCCCAAAGAUUCUCCAGGUGCCUGCCUGGAUCCUCCAAGAUCCCUUCCCCAUGUGACAGUUUCAUCCUGUGGAUCCUCACAAUUCCAUGGAGGAACCUAAGGAAUUUAUUCCCACCCCUGGAUGGAUUUCUGUUAUUAUCCAUGCACCGAGGACGACGAUCCAUCCCCACAAUUCCCUGGAAAACGCCCCAUUUAUUAAUUAAUUACCGAGCACUGUUGCUCCUGCUGCCAGGCCCAGCUGUCCCAGCACCCAGCUUGGAUGCAGCUCCUCUCCAGGGAUUUCUGGACAAUCCCCCCUUGCUCCUCCUCCCGCCGGAUCCUUUUGUGCGGCUCCGUUUCCUCCCCACCUGCUCCCUUUUCCAGCCGCAAUGGAUCCAUUGUCUGGAGCUGCUCGGCUUUUCCCACAGGGAUUGCAGCUCCACAGAGCUCCCUGUCAGCCUGCCCGGAACGUGGAGGAGCCAAGGAAAACAUGAAACAGGGAAGGGAAGAAAAAAAAAAGGAAAGGAGAAAGUGCUUUUACAGGAAUUUGGUGGUGCUUUGAUGAGUUUGGACUUACCCAGCACCUUGCAACUGCUCAUCCCAAACCUCCCAUGCUUCCCAGUGCACCCCAGACCUAGAUUUGGGAGCCAAGGAUUCGUCUGGCACCAAGGAAAAUCAGCUCAGAGCAGCAGAGACAAGGCUGACCCUUCCCAGCUCAGCCCCUGCCAUCCCCUGGGAUUCCUGUUUCAGCAGGACUCUGGAUUUAUCCCAAACCAGCUGUUGCUUUGGGGCAAUAAUCCACAGGCACGGGAAAACCUGGAUAUAAAUUCUUUCUGGACAUGGACACACUUGCUUUAUGGAUCUGCAGGAAAAAGAGGCCAUUUAGGGCCAGAUUUUGGGGCCUGACCCUUUGUGCCACAUCCCACCUGGUGCCUCUCCUAGCUGGGAUGAUCCAUAUGGUAUUAAAGGAUAUCUAAGGAUAUUUAGGAAUAUGUCUAUGCCUGGACACUGAUUUGUUUAAACCUUCUGCUUUGAAAUUAAACCCCUGGGAAUAUAUUUUGACCUUUGGGUGUUCCCAAAGGAUUCCUUGAGGGCCCACAAUUCCUGAGGGAUGAUCCAGGAUCAACUGUGGGCUUGUGGGUCCCCUUUUGUGCUCAGGUUUGAACCUGUGUGCCAGGAAAUUUUACUUUUUCUGAUCCAGAUGGGAAUUCCCAAGGGAAUCCUGGUCUCCCUCAUUUUCCCAGCCCUCAUUUCCUAAGGAAGAGCUGACAGAAAUCAGGAAAACCCCACAAAACUUUAGGAUCAGCACUGGGAGCUGAGGUGCUCAGCCUGGUGAUGACUGGGAGGCCUCAUUCCCAAUAUUCCCACUCUGCUGGCAGAGGGGAGAGGAUUUCCCAGGAAUGCACCUCCUGCCCAGUUCAGCCCCCUGGCUGUCCCAGUAUCCAGCUGGUGAGCUCUGGCGACCUGAUUGCUCCUGCCAGGAGAUUUCCAGUGUCUCCACACAACUCCUGCUCCUGCCAGAACUGGGACACGCCUCUGGCAGGGAGAAGGGAAGGAGCUGACCCAGCUCCAGCAGCUCAUCCUGCUGGGCACUUCCAGAGGGGCCAGGGCUCAUCUCACAGCCAGGACAGGGACUGGCACCUUCCUAGAGCAGGGUUAUUCCAGGGAAUCCCCACUGGGAUUCCCAAUCCUGCCAUAAACCAGCCCCUUUCCAUAACCCUUCUCCAGAUGCAGCUUCUUCUUCCCUGAAUGCAGUUCCAGGACUUCCAGAGCAGCCUCAGAGCCUCCAGGACAGCCCCAGGAGCACCCUGGGAAGCUCCAGGAUCCUUCUGGGAAGCCUCAGUCCUCUGGAAAUCUCCAGGACACUAUUGGGAAUCCCCAGCAUCCUCCUGGGAAGCCCCAGGAA
RNAcentral lists this long non-coding RNA (1893 nucleotides) under Cyanistes caeruleus (blue tit). RNAcentral describes it as "lncRNA (ENSCCEG00000018763.1)". Lineage: Eukaryota; Metazoa; Chordata; Aves; Passeriformes; Paridae. The record is from RNAcentral.